This 166-nucleotide ribosomal RNA is filed under the name Ramularia agastaches. RNAcentral describes it as "partial 18S ribosomal RNA". It matches the Rfam family "Eukaryotic small subunit ribosomal RNA", at positions 1668 to 1831 of the family's 1831-position model. Lineage: Eukaryota; Fungi; Ascomycota; Dothideomycetes; Mycosphaerellales; Mycosphaerellaceae. The record is from RNAcentral.
ACCGCCCGUCGCUACUACCGAUUGAAUGGCUCAGUGAGGCCUUCGGACCGGCUCAGGGAGGUCGGCAACGACCACCCAGAGCCGGAAAGUUGGUCAAACUCGGUCAUUUAGAGGAAGUAAAAGUCGUAACAAGGUCUCCGUAGGUGAACCUGCGGAGGGAUCAUUA